CAGCGCCACGAGUGGUAACCACGUUUAUUGGGCCUAAAGCGUCCGUAGCCGGAUUGAUAAAUCCUUUGUGAAAUUGUGCGGCUCAACCGAACAACGUGCAAGGGACACUGUUAAUCUCGAGACCGGGAGGAGUCAGAAGUAUUCCUGAGGGAGCGGUAAAAUGUUAUAAUCUCAGGAGGACUACCUGUGGCGAAGGCGUCUGACCAGAACGGAUCUGACGGUGAGGGACGAAAGCUAGGGGAGCGAACCGGAUUAGAUACCCGAGUAGUCC
Molecule: ribosomal RNA, 271 nt
Filed under: uncultured archaeon
Lineage: Archaea
Description: partial 16S ribosomal RNA
Rfam family: Archaeal small subunit ribosomal RNA
Source: RNAcentral